Molecule: small nuclear RNA, 62 nt
Organism: Callithrix jacchus (white-tufted-ear marmoset)
Lineage: Eukaryota; Metazoa; Chordata; Mammalia; Primates; Cebidae
Gene: U7
Rfam family: U7 small nuclear RNA
About the family: Animal histone pre-mRNAs are spliced by a different mechanism than nuclear pre-mRNAs and self-splicing introns.
Source: Ensembl
CAGUUUUACAGUGCUUUUAGAAUUUGUCUAGCAAGUUCUCUGGUCUUUUUUGGAAAACCAGU